AGUGAACGCUGGCGGUAGGCCUAACACAUGCAAGUCGAACGGCAGCACAGUAAGAGCUUGCUCUUACGGGUGGCGAGUGGCGGACGGGUGAGGAAUACAUCGGAAUCUACUUUUUCGUGGGGGAUAACGUAGGGAAACUUACGCUAAUACCGCAUACGACCUACGGGUGAAAGCAGGGGAUCUUCGGACCUUGCGCGAUUGAAUGAGCCGAUGUCGGAUUAGCUAGUUGGCGGGGUAAAGGCCCACCAAGGCGACGAUCCGUAGCUGGUCUGAGAGGAUGAUCGGCCACACUGGACUGAGAACACGUUCCGGACUCCACCGGGAGCCAGCGUGGGGGAAUAUGGGACAAGGGGCGCAAGCCGGUUCCAGCAUAACGGCGUGGUGGAAGAGGGCCUCCGGUUGUAAAAGCCCUUUGUUUGGGAAGGAAAGGCGGCGGUUUAUGACCCCGCUGUUUGAAGGUAACCCAAGAAAAAGGCACGGGCAACCUGCGU
RNAcentral lists this ribosomal RNA (491 nucleotides) under uncultured bacterium. RNAcentral describes it as "partial 16S ribosomal RNA". It matches the Rfam family "Bacterial small subunit ribosomal RNA", at positions 29 to 506 of the family's 1533-position model. The record is from RNAcentral.